GGGGAAGAUCCCCUGGAGGAGGGCAUGGCAACCCACUCCAGUACUCUUGCCUGGAGAAUCUCAUGGAUGGAGAAGCACUGUGUAGUCAAAGCACUGUGGCCAUGCAGAACAACUGCCCUUGAAGAAACCCAUAAAUCCUUGACGUGGACUUUGCUGAGAACACUCUAACUCCACACAGAAAACCUCUUCCCUCAAAGACACCAAGGCCAUGUGCUAUAAUGAAUUGUCCCUUGCUCCCUCAAGCAGACUUGGAGAUCUUUCAAGUUCCACGCAGAGGGGAUCAUCUGUCACACCACCCCAGCAUGCACCAUAUCCUCACCCGCAAGAGGCUUUUUCCCUGAACUGUGGGUAAAUAAUGAAAGGUAUAGAAGAGGAAGAAGAGAAAACCAGGAGGACACAGCUGUUGUGGGUUGCCAUUGGGAAGGCACUAUUUGAUGUUUAGCGAU
Bos taurus (domestic cattle) is the source of this 446-nucleotide long non-coding RNA. The record is from Ensembl. Lineage: Eukaryota; Metazoa; Chordata; Mammalia; Artiodactyla; Bovidae.